This 798-nucleotide ribosomal RNA is filed under the name uncultured KB1 group bacterium. Its description in RNAcentral is "bacterial SSU rRNA". It matches the Rfam family "Bacterial small subunit ribosomal RNA", at positions 549 to 1335 of the family's 1533-position model. The record is from RNAcentral. Lineage: Bacteria; Candidatus Calescibacteriota.
AAUUACUGGGCGUAAAGGGCGUCUAGGCGGCCAGUCAAGUCGACGUUGAAAUUCCUCGGCUAAACUGAGGGAGGUACGUCGAAACUGACCGGCUAGAGGGACGUAGAGGUAAGCGGAACUCUCGGAGUAGCGGUGAAAUGCGUAGAGACCGAGAGGUACCCCGAUGGUGAAGACAGCUUACUGGGCGUCUCCUGACGCUGAAGCGCUAAGGCCAGGGGAGCGAAGGGGAUUAGAUACCCCCGUAGUCCUGGCUUCAAACGAUGUGGGCUUGGUGUCGGCCCCCUAUAGAGGGUCGUUGCCGGAGUUAACGCGUUAAGCCCACCGCCUGGGGAUUACGUCCGCAAGGAUGAAACUCAAGGGAAUUGACGGGGGCCCACACAACCGGUGGAGCACGUGGUUUAAUUCGAUGAUAAGCGAAGAACCUUACCAGGGCUUGACCUAGCGGUAGUAGGACCCCGAAAGGGGAACGACCUCAAGCUUUGCUUGAGGAGCCGUGGCAGGUAUUGCAUGGCUGUCGUCAGCUCGUGUCGUGGGACGUUGGGUUAAGUCCCGUAACGAGCGCAACCCCUGCCCUUAAUUGCCAACGGGUAAUGCCGGGUACUAUAAGGGGACUGCCGGAGAAUAUCCGGAGGAAGGAGGGGAUGACGUCAAGUCAUUAUGAUCCUUAUGCUCUGGGCGACACACGUGCUACAAUGGGCACUACAAUGAGGAGCGAUUCCGCAAGGAGGAGCAAAUCUCAAAAAGGUGCCCCCAGUGCGGAUUGGGGUCUGCAACCCGACCCCAUGAAGAUGGAAUCGG